GCAGAUCCUGGAUUUCACCUAUAGGCUUGGACCUAAGAGAUACUUGGGCUGUCUGCCUGAUGUGGCAACUCAGCAGGAAGGCAUUAGAAGUUUCAGUACUUUCAUCUUGUCUCAGAACAUCUUAAGGAAGCCGCACAUAACUGAAGCUGAGCAUGGAAACUGACUCAUCUCUCUCACUCUUCGAGAUUAACUUCUCU
This is a long non-coding RNA of Mauremys reevesii (Reeves's turtle), 197 nucleotides long. RefSeq lists it as uncharacterized. The transcript has 3 exons. NCBI's taxonomy places the organism in Eukaryota, Metazoa, Chordata, Testudines, Geoemydidae. The record is from RefSeq and is a predicted model, not a curated record.